Molecule: ribosomal RNA, 321 nt
Filed under: Streptococcus sanguinis
Lineage: Bacteria; Bacillati; Bacillota; Bacilli; Lactobacillales; Streptococcaceae
Description: bacterial SSU rRNA
Rfam family: Bacterial small subunit ribosomal RNA
Source: RNAcentral
AACCGAUAGCUAAUACCCCCAUAAAAUUGAUUUAUUUGCAUGAUAAUUAAUUGAAAAGAUGCAAUUGCAUCACUACCAGAUGGACCUGCGUUGUAUUAGCUAGUUGGUGAGGUAACGGCUCACCAAGGCGACGAUACAUAGCCGACCUGAGAGGGUGAUCGGCCACACUGGGACUGAGACACGGCCCAGACUCCUACGGGAGGCAGCAGUAGGGAAUCUUCGGCAAUGGGGGGAACCCUGACCGAGCAACGCCGCGUGAGUGAAGAAGGUUUUCGGAUCGUAAAGCUCUGUUGUAAGAGAAGAACGGGUGUGAGAGUGGAA